Molecule: long non-coding RNA, 561 nt
Filed under: Nicotiana benthamiana
Lineage: Eukaryota; Viridiplantae; Streptophyta; Magnoliopsida; Solanales; Solanaceae
Description: long non-coding RNA (NBEN_LNC005618)
Source: RNAcentral
AUAAAAGAUGGAAAAUUUCAACACAUUUUUCUUCCAUAUGUGAAGAUAGUUUUUACUUUAUUUUCUUUGAUGGCAUAGUUGUAUUCUUGUUCUUUAUCAGAAACUUGGUCGAAACGAGAAGCUGGACAGUGUACAAGAAAACCAGAACAAGAAAAAUUGAUGCCAAGGGUUCACUCUUUUCAAGGAAGGUGUUUCUGCCCCCUCCUAAGCCCAUUGCUAUGAUAAGGCCAUGCAAGAAAGCUAUAGACCUAGCACAGUUAAGAUUAAGGUUGAACUUGAUUUUAAAGUAAAGCUGCCGCAAUAUACGAGGAUUCAAUUUGUUGAUGAUAAAACUAGGAAGGUUACCGAGCAUCUCCAGAAAUUUAAUUUGGGCUCGAGCAAUUUGGUUUUUUGUUAAUGCAUUUCAAUGUAUCAUGCUGUAUUUUUAUUGUAUUCAUCGUAAUUCAAUGUAUCUCGCUAUAUUCCAUGUAUUUUAUUGUAUUCAUUAUCUUUUUUCAUUGUAUUUCAAUGUAUGAUUCUAUGUAUUUCAUUGUAUUCACUGUCUCGCUAUAUGCCAUAAAU